This 239-nucleotide long non-coding RNA is filed under the name Elaeis guineensis (African oil palm). RNAcentral describes it as "long non-coding RNA (EGUI_LNC043635)". Lineage: Eukaryota; Viridiplantae; Streptophyta; Magnoliopsida; Arecales; Arecaceae. The record is from RNAcentral.
GGACAAAAGACGGGAAGGUAAGGGAAUCUAAUCAGCCCUAACGUCAAAAAGGUCCACCACUUUAAGGAAGCAAGCCAUCAAAAUAUACAAAGACUUGACUCUCAAAGACUUACGCUCAUCUCACCGGAGAUUUGAUAUUUGAAAUCAAAAAGAGAAGCUAAUUGGACGGCUUAUCCAAAUGCCCCUUCUUAAAAUUUAGGAUUUGUCUACGGAGAGCACAUUCACACAACCCUUACAUU